Molecule: ribosomal RNA, 725 nt
Filed under: uncultured archaeon
Lineage: Archaea
Description: bacterial SSU rRNA
Rfam family: Archaeal small subunit ribosomal RNA
Source: RNAcentral
GAUAGAUAAAAGGUACUGGAACGUUCUUUUAUCCAAAGCUUUUGCGCCUGAGGAUGGGCCUGCGUCCGAUUAGGUUGUUGGUGGGGUAAUGGCCCACCAAGCCUGCGAUCGGUACGGGCAGUAAGAGCUGAAGCCCGGAGUUGGGGACUGAGACAAGGCCCCAGGCCCUACGGGGCGCAGCAGGCGCGAAACCUCUGCAAUGCGGGAAACCGUGACAGGGGGAUCCCAAGUGCUCAUUCAUUGCAUGGGCUGUUCUUUGGUCUAAGUAACCAGAGGAGUAAGGGCUGGGCAAGACCGGUGCCAGCCGCCGCGGUAAUACCGGCAGCUCAAGUGGUAGCCGCGAUUAUUGGGCCUAAAACGUUCGUAGCCGGAUAAGUAAGUCUUUGGUUAAAUCCUGCGACUUAGCCGUGGGAAAUCUAGAGAUACUGCUUGUCUUGAGACCGGGAGAGGUUGGAGGUACUCCCAGGGUAGGGGUGAAAUCCUGUAAUCCUGGGGGGACCACCUGUGGCGAAGGCGUCCAACUGGAACGGGUCUGACGGUGAGGGACGAAACCUAGGGGAGCGAGCCGGAUUAGAUACCCGGGUAGUCCCAGCUGUAAACGAUGCGCGUUAGGUGUGUCAGUGACCACGUGUCACUGAGGUGCCGAAGGGAAACCGUGAAACGCGCCGCCUGGGGAGUACGGUCGCAAGGCUGAAACUUAAAGGAAUUGGCGGGGGAGCACAAUC